RNAcentral lists this ribosomal RNA (260 nucleotides) under uncultured prokaryote. Its description in RNAcentral is "partial 16S ribosomal RNA". It matches the Rfam family "Bacterial small subunit ribosomal RNA", at positions 524 to 782 of the family's 1533-position model. The record is from RNAcentral.
UACGGAGGGUGCGAGCGUUGUCCGGAUUUAUUGGGUUUAAAGGGUGCGUAGGCGGGCUAUUAAGUCAGUGGUGAAAUCCUGCAGCUUAACCUGCAGAACUGCCGUUGAUACUGAUAGUCUUGAGUUUGGUUAAGGUAGGCGGAAUGUGUAAUGUAGCGGUGAAAUGCUUAGAUAUUACACAGAACACCAAUUGCGUAGGCAGCUUACUGAGCCGACACUGACGCUGAGGCACGAAAGCGUGGGGAUCAAACAGGAUUAGA